ACUCUCUUAUCUCUUCUCAGGGAGGUGGUUGUCUCACAGCUUGACAACUUGACAGGCAUUUUGCGGUUCGGGUGUUCCGCACAUAGUCCUCUUUUCUCAGGGGAGCAGGCACUGGAGUUACGUGUGUUAGAACGCCCGAUGAGCGUUUUCGUUUGCGAAGUGGGACUGAUCGCUUGAACCAGAGCAAAAGAGUCUGUUCUGUGGAUAACUGGAUGAACCGAACUCACCCUGAACUCCCCAAAGCAGGAUUUCAGGCCUCCCCGAGGGCAGAGCGGGCCUGGUGAUGCCACUGUGCAGAUCCCACCGUCCGGAUCCCACAGUGCAGGGGGCUCUGGCCGUCACCUGGGACCACGAAGCGCCCUAAGCUGACCUUUUCGUCCUCUCAUCACAUGGCCCCUCUCCUGCCCUUGAAGAGGAGUGAGGAGUAAAAACCUUGAAGGAUUGUCCUGAAUAAGUGCAUUCAUCAAGACAGCAAGCCAAGCCAUCAGGCAGAUGAAUAACAGCAAACUGCCAUCACAAGGAUGCUUGGAUAUGGAGGGAGUCAUGAAGAUGGGAAAUGAGAUGUACAAAAAAGAACUGUGAGAUGAGAGAAUGAAGUGUGCUUACCACCUUUUUCAACCCAGAGGAUGGAAGAGAAUUUGGAGGUUAACAGAAAAAAGGAAUGGGAAAAGGAGAUUGUUGGGCAAAGAAUACGCAUUAAAGACUUCUCAGGUGGUUCCCAUCAGUGGCAAUGGUGGUCUCAGCAGCAUGGAUUUGAGUACUCAAGCACAUGAGGCUACUGUGGAAGUGCUUUGCUUAAACCACAGAUGAGCUUCUGAGGAGCAAAGAUCCCCAGGGAAAGCUCCUUGGCCCCUGCUGUGUUGGGCCAGCUCUGGUAGGUCAACCGGCGCGGACCCCUUACGGUGUUGAUCCCUGCUAAUCGGCCUUCUGUAAAAAUGAUACUGCAAAUUCACCUGUAGCCGUCUAUUUUGUUCUCUUGCUGGUGAG
Long non-coding RNA from Mustela lutreola (European mink), 987 nucleotides. RefSeq lists it as uncharacterized. The transcript is spliced from 3 exons. The record is from RefSeq and is a predicted model, not a curated record. NCBI's taxonomy places the organism in Eukaryota, Metazoa, Chordata, Mammalia, Carnivora, Mustelidae.